GACGUAGGGGGCGAGCGUUGUCCGGAUUUAUUGGGCGUAAAGCGCGCGUAGGCGGCCGCAUUAGUCGGAUGUGAAAACCCAGGGCUCAACCCUGGGCCUGCAUCCGAUACUGUGCGGCUCGAGGCAGGCAGGGGAGAGCGGAAUUCCUGGUGUAGCGGUGAAAUGCGCAGAUAUCAGGAGGAACACCGGUGGCGAAGGCGGCUCUCUGGGCCUGUCCUGACGCUCAUGCGCGAAAGCUAGGGGAGCAAACAGG
This 253-nucleotide ribosomal RNA is filed under the name uncultured prokaryote. Its description in RNAcentral is "partial 16S ribosomal RNA". It matches the Rfam family "Bacterial small subunit ribosomal RNA", at positions 524 to 776 of the family's 1533-position model. The record is from RNAcentral.